RNAcentral lists this ribosomal RNA (429 nucleotides) under uncultured bacterium. Its description in RNAcentral is "bacterial SSU rRNA". It matches the Rfam family "Bacterial small subunit ribosomal RNA", at positions 355 to 776 of the family's 1533-position model. The record is from RNAcentral.
UGGGGAAUAUUGGACAAUGGGGGCAACCCUGAUCCAGCAAUACCGCGUGUGUGAAGAAGGCCUUCGGGUUGUAAAGCACUUUAGGCGGGGAAGAAGGUGGUUAUUUUAAGAGAUAGAUCACUUGACGGUACCCGCAGAAUAAGCACCGGCUAACUCUGUGCCAGCAGCCGCGGUAAUACAGAGGGUGCAAGCGUUAAUCGGAAUUACUGGGCGUAAAGGGCGCGUAGGUGGUUGUUUAAGUGAGGUGUGAAAUCCCCGGGCUUAACCUGGGACGUGCAUCUUAUACUGGGCAACUGGAGUGCAAUAGAGGGUAGUGGAAUUUCCGGUGUAGCGGUGAAAUGCGUAGAUAUCGGAAGGAACACCAGUGGCGAAGGCGGCUACCUGGAUUGACACUGACACUGAGGCGCGAGAGCGUGGGGAGCAAACAGG